CUGGCCAGUAACUUGACGCUGGCCUACUAUAAAAUAAUAUUGGAAAAGUGCGAUUUUUUGGAUAAUAAUCGCCUAAAACGCAAACUGUUUUGGAAGAUCAUGGAAUUUUGUGACAAAACGUGAAAGAAAUAAGUUGUUAUUUUGGCAUUCAGUUCUCAAGUGAGGAUUAUGUUGCAAGUGUCUUGUGUUAUGUAGUUUUAGUAUGUUGGAUUAGAUUUUAGUGGCUACUUGUUGCAGUAGCCUGUUAAACUUUGUUAAAUUCUAUUACGUUUUUAUUAUGAUUGGGUGGUUUUUGUAAGGGUGCUCUAUUAAACAUUGAUCACAAUUUCUUCAGCUUAA
Molecule: long non-coding RNA, 339 nt
Organism: Xenia sp. Carnegie-2017
Lineage: Eukaryota; Metazoa; Cnidaria; Anthozoa; Malacalcyonacea; Xeniidae
Exons: 2
Source: RefSeq, a predicted model, not a curated record